UUGACCUCGGAUCAGGUAGGAAUACGCGCUGAACUUAAGCAUAUCAAUAAGCGCAGGAAAAGAAACCAACAGGGAUUGCCUCAGUAACGGCGAGUGAAGCGGCAACAGCUCAAAUUUGAAAUCUGGCCUCUCGGGGUCCGAGUUGUAAUUUGUAGAGGAUGUUUUGGGUACCGCCCCGGUUUAAAUUUCUUGGAACAGAAUGUCAAAGAGGGUGAGAAUCCCGUCUUGGACCGGCGGUAGGGCCUGUGUAAAACUCCUUCGACGAGUCGAGUUGUUUGGGAAUGCAGCUCAAAAUGGGUGGUAAAUUUCAUCUAAAGCUAAAUAUUGGCCAGAGACCGAUAGCGCACAAGUAGAGUGAUCGAAAGAUGAAAAGAACUUUGAAAAGAGAGUUAAACAGUAUGUGAAAUUGUUGAAAGGGAAGCGCUUGCAACCAGACUUGAGCGCGACGGUUCCCCUAGCCUUUUGGCUAGGCUACUCCGUCGUGUCCAGGCCAACAUCGGUUCUGAGGGUCGGUCAAAGGCCCCGGGAAUGUACCUACCCACGGGUAGACUUAUAGACCGGGGUGUCAUGCGGCCUCUCGGGACCGAGGAACGCGCUUCGGCUCGGAUGUUGGCGUAAUGGUUGUCAGCGACCCGUCUUGAAACACGGACCAAGGAGUCUAACAUCUAUGCGAGUGUUUGGGUGUCAAACCCGGAACGCGGAAUGAAAGUGAACGGAGGUAGGAAGCUUCGGCUGCACUAUCGACCGAUCCUGAAGUUUACGGAUGGAUUUGAGUAAGAGCAUAGCUGUUGGGACCCGAAAGAUGGUGAACUAUGCCUGAAUAGGGUGAAGCCAGAGGAAACUCUGGUGGAGGCUCGCAGCGGUUCUGACGUGCAAAUCGAUCGUCAAAUUUGGGUAUAGGGGCGAAAGACUAAUCGAACCAU
RNAcentral lists this ribosomal RNA (923 nucleotides) under Capronia americana. Its description in RNAcentral is "eukaryotic LSU rRNA". It matches the Rfam family "Eukaryotic large subunit ribosomal RNA", at positions 1 to 943 of the family's 3401-position model. Lineage: Eukaryota; Fungi; Ascomycota; Eurotiomycetes; Chaetothyriales; Herpotrichiellaceae. The record is from RNAcentral.